GGGUCUGUAGCUCAUUGGUAGAGCAUUUGCUUAGCAUGCAUGAAGCUGGGGGUUCCAUCCCCAGCACCCC
Molecule: transfer RNA, 70 nt
Filed under: Ictidomys tridecemlineatus (thirteen-lined ground squirrel)
Lineage: Eukaryota; Metazoa; Chordata; Mammalia; Rodentia; Sciuridae
Description: Spermophilus tridecemlineatus (thirteen-lined ground squirrel) tRNA
Rfam family: tRNA
About the family: Transfer RNA (tRNA) molecules are approximately 80 nucleotides in length. Their secondary structure includes four short double-helical elements and three loops (D, anti-codon, and T loops).
Source: Rfam by way of RNAcentral